AAUGUCCUAUGGUCUAAGCGAUGUAUAUGCAAUCUCACAGGGAAGACUUCCUAAACGUAAGAUCAAGGCCACCAGAGCUAUGGUCCUUUUCACAGCUUUUCCACAACAGUUGGACGCAACUAGGUGUGAAAUUGCAUGUAAAGAGAACAACCACUGGCUGAGGAUUUCAUGAUAGCCAAACUGGAGACAGUCCAAACAUGACACCGCUACACAACCCCUCUAAUUCUAUGUUGCACUCAGACCCGGGUAUAGGGCCCCACUCAUGAUAUGUACAAUAAUAAUAAUAAUAAAAAGAAUAAAAUACCAAAAUAAAUAAAGACAAUCACAUAUAAACAAAAAGGGAAAUAAAAUAAAAUAAAAUAAAAAAGGAAUAAGAUAAAAUAAAAUCAAGCAAAAUAAAAUAAAAUAAGAAAAACCACAUCAAUUUUGCACAUUUAAUUAUCA
RNAcentral lists this long non-coding RNA (444 nucleotides) under Vigna radiata. RNAcentral describes it as "long non-coding RNA (VRAD_LNC011277)". The record is from RNAcentral. Lineage: Eukaryota; Viridiplantae; Streptophyta; Magnoliopsida; Fabales; Fabaceae.